RNAcentral lists this ribosomal RNA (784 nucleotides) under Bacillus subtilis. Its description in RNAcentral is "bacterial SSU rRNA". It matches the Rfam family "Bacterial small subunit ribosomal RNA", at positions 1 to 766 of the family's 1533-position model. Lineage: Bacteria; Bacillati; Bacillota; Bacilli; Caryophanales; Bacillaceae. The record is from RNAcentral.
GUUUUUUUGGGUUUUUUUUUUUUCCCGGGAAACAGCUCGGGGGGUGCCUAUACCCGCGAGUUUAACGAAUACAUUUAGAGCCUGCUUUUAUGAAGUUAUCGGCGGACGGGUGAGUAACACGUGGGUAACCUGCCCAUAAGACUGGGAUAACUCCGGGGAAACCUGGGGAAAUACCGGAUAAUACUUUGAACCGCAUGGUUCAAAAAUGAAAGGUGGUUUCGGCUUUCACUUAUGGAAGGACCCGAGUCGCAUUAAGUUAUUGGUGAGGUAAAGGCUCACCAAGGCAACGUUUCGUAACCGACUUGGAAGGGUGAUUGGCCUCACUGGGAAUGAGACACGGCCCCGAAUCCUUCGGGAGGCAGCCGUAGGGAAUUUUUCGCAAUGGGCGAAAAUCUGAAGGAGCACCGCCGCGUGAGUGAUGAAGGCUUUCGGGUUGUAAAACUCUGUUGUUAGGGAAGAACGAGUACUAGUUGAAUAUGCUGGCACCUUGACGGUACCUAACCAGAAAGCCCCGGCUAACUACGUGCCAGCAGCCGCGGUAAUACGUAGGGGGCAAGCGUUAUCCGGAAUUAUUGGGCGUAAAGCGCGCGCAGGCGGUUUGUUAAGUCUGAUGUGAAAGCCCACGGCUCAACUUUGGAGGGUCAUUGGAAACUGGGAGACUUGAGUGCAGAAGAGGAAAGUGGAAUUCCAUGUGUAGCGGUGAAAUGCGUAGAGAUAUGGAGGAACACCAGUGGCGAAGGCGACUCUCUGGUCUGUAACUGACGCUGAGCGCGUAAGCUCUAGC